UACGAACCGUGCGAACGUUAUUCGGAAUCACUGGGCUUAAAGCGCGUGUAGGCGGGUCGGCACGUCGGUCGCUGAAAGCCCACGGCUCAACCGUGGAGGGUCAUUGGAAACUGGGGAACUUGAGUGCAGAAGAGGAGAGCGGAAUUCCACGUGUAGCGGUGAAAUGCGUAGAGAUGUGGAGGAACACCAGUGGCGAAGGCGGCUCUCUGGACUGUAACUGACGCUGAGGCGCGAAAGCGUGGGGAGCAAACAGG
Molecule: ribosomal RNA, 254 nt
Filed under: uncultured bacterium
Lineage: Bacteria
Description: partial 16S ribosomal RNA
Rfam family: Bacterial small subunit ribosomal RNA
Source: RNAcentral